Non-coding RNA from Ceratotherium simum simum (southern white rhinoceros), 71 nucleotides. The record is from the annotation of a RefSeq genome assembly. NCBI's taxonomy places the organism in Eukaryota, Metazoa, Chordata, Mammalia, Perissodactyla, Rhinocerotidae.
UCUUGGUGGUCUAGUGGUUAAGAUUUGGCGUUCUUACCACCAUGGCCCAGGUUCAAUUCCUGGCCAGAGAA